UACGUAGGGGGCGAGCGUUGUCCGGAGUUACGGGGCGUAAAGCGCACGCAGGCGGUCUGCUAAGUUUGGAGUGACAGUUGGUGGCUUAACUGCCAAAGUGCUUCGAAAACUGACAGACUUGAGGGCUUCAGAGGGACACGGAAUUCCGGGUGGAGUGGUGAAAUGCGUAGAGAUCCGGAGGAACACCAAAGGCGAAGGCAGUGUCCUGGGGAGUACCUGACGCUCAGGUGCGAAAGCCAGGGGAGCGAACGGG
This 253-nucleotide ribosomal RNA is filed under the name uncultured bacterium. Its description in RNAcentral is "partial 16S ribosomal RNA". It matches the Rfam family "Bacterial small subunit ribosomal RNA", at positions 524 to 776 of the family's 1533-position model. The record is from RNAcentral.